Molecule: ribosomal RNA, 1656 nt
Filed under: Lachnospiraceae bacterium
Lineage: Bacteria; Bacillati; Bacillota; Clostridia; Lachnospirales; Lachnospiraceae
Description: partial 23S ribosomal RNA
Rfam family: Bacterial large subunit ribosomal RNA
Source: RNAcentral
AAUUUAAGUGAAAAGAGCGUAGGGUGAAUGCCUAGGCACUAAGAGCCGAAGAAAGACGUAAUAAGCUGCGAAAAGCCAUGGGGAUUGGCAAAUACGAGAUGAUCCAUGGAUAUCUGAAUGGGGAAACCUGAUAGUGAGAACCACUAUUAUCAUUAGAUGAAUAAAUAGUCUAAUGAAGGGAACCUGCUGAACUGAAACAUCUAAGUAGGCAGAGGAAGAGAAAGAAAAUCGAUUUCGUAAGUAGAGGCGAUCGAAAGCGAAGGAGCCUAAACCAAGAUGCGUGCAUUUUGGGGUUUGGACUACAUAAUGUAGUUAUAAGCUUAGUAGAAUACAGAUGGAAAACUGAACCGAAGAGUGUGAUAGUCACGUACACGAAAAGUAAGUAACGCAAGUAGAAUCCAGAGUACCACGGGACACGAGGAAUCGCCGUGGGAAUGCGCGGAGACCACUCCGUAAGGCUAAAUACUCCUUAGUGACCGAUAGAGAUAAGUACUGUGAAGGAAAGGUUAAAAGAACCCCGGGAGGGGAGUGAAAGAGAUCCUAAAACCCUAUGUUUACAAACUGUGGGAGACUGUAAAGUCGACCGCGUACUUUUUGUAGAACGGUCCGGCGAGUUAUGCAAUUUGGCAAGGUUAAGUAGUUAAGCUACGGAGCCGAAGCGAAAGCGAGUCUGAAGAGGGCAUCAAGUCAAAUAGCAUAGACCCGAAACUGUGUGACCUAUCCAUGACCAGAUUGAAGCUGGAGUAAAAUCCGGUGGAGGAUCGAAGCCACAUCCGUUGAAAAGGGUGGGCAUGAGUUGUGGAUAGCGGAGAAAUUCCAAUCGAACUCAGAGAUAGCUGGUUCUCCUCGAAAUAGCUUUAGGGCUAGCCUGUACUAAUAUCUAACGCAGGUAGAGCACUGAAUAUCUAAGGGGGCGUCAAAGUCUACCGAGGAUUAUCAAACUGCGAAUGGCGUAUAGAGGUAAGUAUGGAGACAGACUUGCGGAGAUAAGUUUGUAAGUCAAAAGGAAAAGAGUCCAGACCUACAGCUAAGGUCCCCAAAUACGUGUUAAGUGGAAAAGGAUGUGAGAUUUCAAAUACAACUAGGAUGUUGGCUCAGAAGCAGCCAUUCAUUCAAAGAGUGCGUAAUAGCUCACUAGUCGAGAGGUCUUGCGCCGAAAAUUAACGGGGCUAAAACACGAUACCGAAGCUUAGGAACAGUAAUGUUGGUAGAGGAGCAUUGAUAACGCGCAGAAGUAGAAUUGAGAAGUUUUAUGGAGUGUUAUGAAGAGAGAAUGCCGGAAUAAGUAGCGAGAUUUAAGUGAGAAUCUUAAAGGCCGAAUAUCCAAGGUUUCCAGGGUCAAGCUUGUCUUCCCUGGGUAAGUCGGGACCUAAGGUGAGGCAGAAAUGCGUAGCCGAUGGACAGCUGGUGAAAAUUCCAGUACCUUUAGUAAUCAGAAAUGUGGGGACACAUGAGCAAAGUUCUAGCGUGUAAUGAUAAACCACGUAGAGGCGUGUAGUGUGCUUGUAGGCAAAACCGCAAGUGAAUCGAAGACGCGGAAGGAUCGAAAUUAGAGUAGAGAAGAGAAUGGAACUUGUGUCGAGAAAAGCCGCUAUUGUGUUACUAAAGCCCGUACCGUAAACCGACACAGGUGGAUGAGGAGAGAAUCCUAAGGCC